Trifolium pratense (red clover) is the source of this 104-nucleotide small nuclear RNA. Lineage: Eukaryota; Viridiplantae; Streptophyta; Magnoliopsida; Fabales; Fabaceae. The record is from RefSeq and is a predicted model, not a curated record.
GUCUCUUUCGGGAAUAUCCGAUAAAGUUAAAAUGAUAAGGGAAAAAUUAUCAUCACCCCUAUGUAGAGAUGACACACAAGAAUUAUGAAAUGGUCCAAAAUUUU